AUUGAACGCUGGCGGAAUGCUUUACACAUGCAAGUCGAACGGCAGCACGGGAGCUUGCUCCUGGUGGCGAGUGGCGAACGGGUGAGUAAUGCGUCGGAACGUACCGAGUAAUGGGGGGAUAACGCAGCGAAAGCUGUGCUAAUACCGCAUACGCCCUGAGGGGGAAAGUGGGGGAUCGCAAGACCUCACGUUAUUCGAGCGGCCGACGUCUGAUUAGCUAGUUGGUGGGGUAAAGCCUACCAAGGCGACGAUCAGUAGCGGGUCUGAGAGGAUGAUCCGCCACACUGGAACUGAGACACGGUCCAGACUCCUAUGGGAGGCAGCAGUGGGGAAUUUUGGACAAUGGGGGCAACCCUGAUCCAGCCAUUCCGCGUGAGUGAAGAAGGCCUCGGGUUGUAAAGCUCUUUCAGCUGGACGAACGGUACAUCCUAAUACGGUGUGCUAAUGACGGUACCAGCAGAAGAAGACACCGGCGUAACUACGUGCCAGCAGCCGCGGUAAU
RNAcentral lists this ribosomal RNA (502 nucleotides) under uncultured bacterium. RNAcentral's name for it is "bacterial SSU rRNA". It matches the Rfam family "Bacterial small subunit ribosomal RNA", at positions 30 to 524 of the family's 1533-position model. The record is from RNAcentral.